AACGUAGGAGACAAGCGUUAUCCGGAGUUACUGGGCGUAAAGGGCGUGCAGGUGGCGUGCUAAGUCUGUUGUGAAAGCGCCUGGCUUAACCGGGCGAGGUCAAUGGAUACUGGCAGGCUAGAGGACGGUAGAGGGAUGUGGAAUUCCGGGUGUAGUGGUGAAAUGCGUAGAGAUCCGGAGGAACACCAGAGGCGAAGGCGGCAUCCUGGGCCGUACCUGACACUGAGACGCGACAGCAUGGGGAGCGAACGGG
RNAcentral lists this ribosomal RNA (253 nucleotides) under uncultured bacterium. RNAcentral's name for it is "partial 16S ribosomal RNA". It matches the Rfam family "Bacterial small subunit ribosomal RNA", at positions 524 to 776 of the family's 1533-position model. The record is from RNAcentral.